RNAcentral lists this long non-coding RNA (889 nucleotides) under Brachypodium distachyon (stiff brome). Its description in RNAcentral is "long non-coding RNA (BDIS_LNC005535)". The record is from RNAcentral. Lineage: Eukaryota; Viridiplantae; Streptophyta; Magnoliopsida; Poales; Poaceae.
GGCAAUUUCCGAACCCGAGGAAGAUGCCCCCGCUUCUUCUGCGACUUCUCUCUCCACAACCGGUGGCUGCUCAGGCACCUCUUCAACGUGAGCCUGAGGUUCCAAUCCAACACUUAUAAAAGUAAUUUAAAAAAACCAAAAAAAUUUGCCAAGACCUAUGCUAUAAAACAAGAUUUCGGCAUGACUAUUGUUGUAAAACAACAAAUGAGUCUACCCGAAUUUUAUACCUGCAUAAAAAAAACUCCCACCCACAUAUACACCCUCGGCACGAUGGCCGGACCCUUCUCAACGACCCUACACGAUGGCCGGGCCCACAUUGCUCAUAUCAACCGACACGAUGGUCGGGAUCACAUGCAUGUAUCAUUUAACCAUAAACAGCAAUAACAUCAAUACUUAACCAUAAACAACAAUAUAAACCCUAAAUAGUUAGAACUAAACAUAAACAACAAUACUUAAAUCCUAACUAAACAUACACAGCAAGAUUCAACCUAAUUAAAAAAACAGCAAGAUUCAACCCUAAUAAACUAUAGAACUAAACAUAAACAACAAUAUUUAAACCCUAACUAAACAUAAACAACAAGAUUUAACCCUAAUUAAAAAACAGCAAGAUUCAACCCUAAUUAACUAUAGAACUAAUCAUAAACAACAAUAUUUAAACCAUAACUGAACAUAAACAACAAUAUUUAAACCCUAAUUAAACAUAAACAACAAGAUUCAACCCUAAUUGGACCCUAAAAACAAGAUUCAACCCUAAUUUAACCCUAAUUUGACUCACCGGGGUAGGUACUUCGUCAACCGGCGGAGGAGUCAAGGCGGCGGGCAUGGUGGCGGGGUCGGCGGCCGCGGGGGUCGCGGAAGAGCUCCGGCUGCAUCCCCUCCUCACGGCGCC